UCUCGUACACUACCGCUUCUGGCC
RNAcentral lists this non-coding RNA (24 nucleotides) under Arabidopsis thaliana (thale cress). The record is from RNAcentral. Lineage: Eukaryota; Viridiplantae; Streptophyta; Magnoliopsida; Brassicales; Brassicaceae.